This 442-nucleotide ribosomal RNA is filed under the name uncultured bacterium. Its description in RNAcentral is "partial 16S ribosomal RNA". It matches the Rfam family "Bacterial small subunit ribosomal RNA", at positions 338 to 795 of the family's 1533-position model. The record is from RNAcentral.
CCUACGCGUGGCAGCAGUGGGGAAUAUUGGUCAAUGGGCGCAAGCCUGACCCAGCAACGCCGCGUGAAGGAAGAAGGCUUUCGGGUUGUAUACUUCUUUUAAGAGGGAAGAGAAGAAGACGGUACCUCUUAAAUAAGCCACGUCUAACUACGUGCCAGCAGCCGCGGUAAUACGUAGGUGGCAAGCGUUGUCCGGAUUUACUGGGUGUAAAGGGCGUGCAGCCGGGCUGAGACGUCAGAUGUGAAAUCCCGCGGCUCAACCGCGGAACUGCAUUUGAAACUGUCAGUUGUGAGUACCGGAGAGGUCAUCGGAAUUCCUUGUGUAGCGGUGAAAUGCGUAGAUAUAAGGAAGAACACCAGUGGCGAAGGCGGAUGACUGGACGGCAACUGACGGUGAGGCGCGAAAGCGUGGGGAGCAAACAGGAUUAGAUACCCCUGUAGUC